AUGUGUCACUUUUCGGAUUUCGAGAUUCAAACAAGUCUAUCUUUGACCGUAAGUUUUCAUAGAUCUUUUAAACAUUUUGAAUUAUCAAUUAUUGUGACUUAUAGUACUUUUUAUGUAGUUUACAAAUAUAGAAAUUUCAUUUUAAAAAAAAUGAAGAUUUCAUGCGCAAAUUUUCGGUCAAACUUAAACUGCUGGACUCUCGAAAAACGAAAAGUGUCACAUAA
Molecule: microRNA precursor, 224 nt
Filed under: Solanum tuberosum (potato)
Lineage: Eukaryota; Viridiplantae; Streptophyta; Magnoliopsida; Solanales; Solanaceae
Description: MIR8007 microRNA precursor family
Rfam family: MIR8007 microRNA precursor family
Source: Rfam by way of RNAcentral